This 531-nucleotide ribosomal RNA is filed under the name uncultured Glomus. RNAcentral describes it as "SSU rRNA". It matches the Rfam family "Eukaryotic small subunit ribosomal RNA", at positions 569 to 1100 of the family's 1831-position model. The record is from RNAcentral. Lineage: Eukaryota; Fungi; Glomeromycota; Glomeromycetes; Glomerales; Glomeraceae.
AGCAGCCGCGGUAAUUCCAGCUCCAAUAGCGUAUAUUAAAGUUGUUGCAGUUAAAAAGCUCGUAGUUGAAUUUCGGGAUCGACGGGUCGGUCGCGCCUCUGGUGUGUACUGGCCCUGUCGGUUUCUCCCUUCUGACGAACCACGAUGUCAUUAAUUUGGUGUCGUGGGAAAUCAGGACUGUUACUUUGAAAAAAUUAGAGUGUUUAAAGCAGGCAUUCGCUUGAAUACAUUAGCAUGGAAUAAUGAAAUAGGACGUUUGAUCUUAUUUUGUUGGUUUCUAAGAUCGACGUAAUGAUUAAUAGGGAUAGUUGGGGGCAUUAGUAUUCAAUUGUCAGAGGUGAAAUUCUUGGAUUUAUUGAAGACUAACUACUGCGAAAGCAUUCGCCAAGGAUGUUUUCAUUAAUCAAGAACGAAAGUUAGGGGAUCGAAGACGAUCAGAUACCGUCGUAGUCUUAACCAUAAACUAUGCCGACUAGGGAUCGGAUGAUGUUAAUUUUUAAUGACUCAUUCGGCGUCCGUUACGGUAAACCG